GUGGGGAAUCUUCCGCAAUGGACGAAAGUCUGACGGAGCAACGCCGCGUGAGCGAAGAAGGUUUUCGGAUCGUAAAGCUCUUUCGUUAGGGACGAACGUGCUCUUUGUGAAUAAUUAGGAGUAAUGACGGUACCUAAAUAAGAAGCCACGGCUAACUACGUGCCAGCAGCCGCGGUAAUACGUAGGUGGCAAGCGUUGUCCGGAAUUAUUGGGCGUAAAGCGCGCGCAGGCGGGAUAUCAAGUCUGUCUUAAAAGUGCGAGGCUCAACCUCGUGAGGGGACAGAAACUGGUAUUCUUGAGUGUCGGAGAGGAAAGUGGAAUUCCAAGUGUAGCGGUGAAAUGCGUAGAGAUUUGGAAGAACACCAGUGGCGAAGGCGACUUUCUGGACGAUGUCUGACGCUGAGGCGCGAAAGCUAGGGGAGCGAACGGGAUUAGAAACCCGUGUAGUCC
RNAcentral lists this ribosomal RNA (450 nucleotides) under uncultured bacterium. RNAcentral describes it as "partial 16S ribosomal RNA". It matches the Rfam family "Bacterial small subunit ribosomal RNA", at positions 354 to 796 of the family's 1533-position model. The record is from RNAcentral.